Molecule: ribosomal RNA, 498 nt
Filed under: uncultured bacterium
Lineage: Bacteria
Description: bacterial SSU rRNA
Rfam family: Bacterial small subunit ribosomal RNA
Source: RNAcentral
AUUGAACGCUGGCGGAAUGCUUUACACAUGCAAGUCGAACGGCAGCACGGGGCAACCUGGUGGCGAGUGGCGAACGGGCGAGUAAUACAUCGGAACGUGCCCAAUCGUGGGGGAUAACGUAGCGAAAGUUACGCUAAUACCGCAUACGAUCUACGGAUGAAAGCGGGGGAUCGCAAGACCUCGCGCGAAUGGAGCGGCCGAUGUCAGAUUAGGUAGUUGGUGGGGUAAAGGCUCACCAAGCCAACGAUCUGUAGCUGGUCUGAGAGGACGACCAGCCACACUGGAACUGAGACACGGUCCAGACUCCUACGGGAGGCAGCAGUGGGGAAUUUUGGACAAUGGGCGCAAGCCUGAUCCAGCCAUGCCGCGUGCAGGAUGAAGGCCUUCGGUUGUAACUGCUUUGUACGGAACGAAAGGUACCGUUUCUAAUAAAGAAGGGCGUCAUGACGGUACCGUAAGAAUAAGCACCGCGUAACUACGUGCCAGCAGCCGCGGUAA